CGAACGCUGGCGGCAUGCCUAACACAUGCAAGUCGACCGAACCCUUCGGGGUUAGUGGCGCACGGGUGCGUAACGCGUGGGAAUCUGCCCUUUGCUUCGGAAUAACUCAGGGAAACUUGUGCUAAUACCGGAUGAUGUCUUCGGACCAAAGAUUUAUCGGCAAGGGAUGAGCCCGCGUAGGAUUAGGUAGUUGGUGGGGUAAAGGCCUACCAAGCCGACGAUCCUUAGCUGGUCUGAGAGGAUGAUCAGCCACACUGGGACUGAGACACGGCCCAGACUCCUACGGGAGGCAGCAGUGGGGAAUAUUGGACAAUGGGCGCAAGCCUGAUCCAGCAAUGCCGCGUGAGUGAUGAAGGCCCUCGGGUCGUAAAGCUCUUUUACCAGGGAUGAUAAUGACAGUACCUGGAGAAUAAGCUCCGGCUAACUCCGUG
Molecule: ribosomal RNA, 431 nt
Filed under: uncultured bacterium
Lineage: Bacteria
Description: partial 16S ribosomal RNA
Rfam family: Bacterial small subunit ribosomal RNA
Source: RNAcentral